GCGCAUCUGACACUGCUCUGUCACCUGCAAAAGACCACCAAACAAAGCAACAGUAGCAGUAAAUGACAAAAGACAAAGAAUAUAAAAUCAACGGUUGUAAUAUGGCUAUAAAAGCCAAAAUAUUCUCGUUGUACAUUUUUUUUCACACACACUUUAGAAAUAAAAGGCAGAACAGAGGUUUUUUAAAGGUUGAACUUUUACUGUUUUCUUUUUUAUUUUUUUAUUGUUAUUUUUUUUAUCUUUUUUACAACUUCAUUUUAACAAAAAUAACAUAGUAAUAAAAAAAGCACCUGAUUCGCUCCGAGACUCUGUCGACGG
RNAcentral lists this long non-coding RNA (318 nucleotides) under Gossypium barbadense (sea-island cotton). RNAcentral describes it as "long non-coding RNA (GBAR_LNC020207)". The record is from RNAcentral. Lineage: Eukaryota; Viridiplantae; Streptophyta; Magnoliopsida; Malvales; Malvaceae.